RNAcentral lists this transfer RNA (72 nucleotides) under Dissophora ornata. RNAcentral describes it as "tRNA-Arg". It matches the Rfam family "tRNA". Rfam says of the family: Transfer RNA (tRNA) molecules are approximately 80 nucleotides in length. Their secondary structure includes four short double-helical elements and three loops (D, anti-codon, and T loops). The record is from RNAcentral. Lineage: Eukaryota; Fungi; Mortierellomycota; Mortierellomycetes; Mortierellales; Mortierellaceae.
GGACUAUUGGCCCAAUGGAAAGGCGUCUGACUACGAAUCAGGAGAUUGCAGGUUCGAGCCCUGCAUAGUUCA